Molecule: transfer RNA, 73 nt
Filed under: Streptomyces antarcticus
Lineage: Bacteria; Bacillati; Actinomycetota; Actinomycetes; Kitasatosporales; Streptomycetaceae
Description: tRNA-Met
Rfam family: tRNA
About the family: Transfer RNA (tRNA) molecules are approximately 80 nucleotides in length.
Source: RNAcentral
CGGCUUAUAGCUCAGUAGGUAGAGCGCUGGCCUCAUAUGCCAGUCGUCCCCGGUUCGAACCCGGGUAAGCCAA